UACGUAGGUGGCAAGCGUUGUCCGGAAUUAUUGGGCGUAAAGCGCGCGCAGGUGGUUUCUUAAGUCUGAUGUGGAAGCCCACGGCUCAACCGUGGAGGGUCAUUGGAAACUGGGGAACUUGAGUGCAGGAGAGAAGAGUGGAAUUCCACGUGUAGCGGUGAAAUGCGUAGAGAUGUGGAGGAACACCAGUGGCGAAGGCGGCUCUCUGGGUCGGCCCUGACGCUGAGGCACGAAAGCGUGGGGAGCGAACGGG
This 253-nucleotide ribosomal RNA is filed under the name uncultured bacterium. RNAcentral's name for it is "partial 16S ribosomal RNA". It matches the Rfam family "Bacterial small subunit ribosomal RNA", at positions 524 to 776 of the family's 1533-position model. The record is from RNAcentral.